AGUCGGACGGUAACGGGUAAGUACUUGUACUUAUGCUGACGAGUGGCGGACGGGUGAGUAAUGCUUGGGAAUCUGUCUUAUGGAGGGGGAUAACGACGGGAAACUGUCGCUAAUACCGCGUAGAGUCGGGAGACGAAAGUGCGGGACUUAAUGGCCGCAUGCCAUGAGAUGAGCCCAAGUGUGAUUAGGUAGUUGGUGGGGUAAAGGCCUACCAAGCCGACGAUCGCUAGCUGGUCUGAGAGGAUGGCCAGCCACACCGGGACUGAGACACGGCCCGGACUCCUACGGGAGGCAGCAGUGGGGAAUAUUGCGCAAUGGGGGCAACCCUGACGCAGCCAUGCCGCGUGAAUGAAGAAGGCCUUCGGGUUGUAAAGUUCUUUCGGUGGUGAGGAAGGGAUGUUGUUUAAUAGAUAACAUCAUUGACGUUAACUACAGAAGAAGCACCGGCUAACUCCGUGCCAGCAGCCGCGGUAAUACGGAGGGUGCGAGCGUUAAUCGGAAUAACUGGGCGUAAAGGGCACGCAGGCGGACCUUUAAGUGAGGUGUGAAAUCCCCGGGGCUUAACCUGGGAAUUGCAUUUCAUACUGGGGGUCUGGAGUACUUUAGGGAGGGGUAGAAUUCCACGUGUAGCGGUGAAAUGCGUAGAGAUGUGGAGGAAUACCGAAGGCGAAGGCAGCCCCUUGGGGAUGUACUGACGCUGAUGUGCGAAAGCGUGGGGAGCAAACAGGAUUAGAUACCCUGGUAGUCCACGCUGUAAACGAUGUCGAUUUGGGGAAUUGGGGUUUAGCCUUGGUGCCCGAAGCUAACGUGAUAAAUCGACCGCCUGGGGAGUACGGCCGCAAGGUUAAAACUCAAAUGAAUUGACGGGGGCCCGCACAAGCGGUGGAGCAUGUGGUUUAAUUCGAAUGCAACGCGAAGAACCUUACCUACUCUUGACAUCCAUGGAAUCCUGUAGAGAUACGGGAGUGCCUUUGGGAACCAUGAGACAGGUGCUGCAUGGCUGUCGUCAGCUCGUGUUGUGAAAUGUUGGGUUAAGUCCCGCAACGAGCGCAACCCUUAUCCUUUGUUGCCAGCGACUUGGUCGGGAACUCAAAGGAGACUGCCGGUGAUAAACCGGAGGAAGGUGGGGAUGACGUCAAGUCAUCAUGGCCCUUACGAGUAGGGCUACACACGUGCUACAAUGGCGUAUACAGAGGGUAACCAACCGGUGAUGGGGAGUGAAUCUCAAAAAGUACGUCUAAGUCGGAU
Molecule: ribosomal RNA, 1248 nt
Filed under: Aggregatibacter actinomycetemcomitans
Lineage: Bacteria; Pseudomonadati; Pseudomonadota; Gammaproteobacteria; Pasteurellales; Pasteurellaceae
Description: bacterial SSU rRNA
Rfam family: Bacterial small subunit ribosomal RNA
Source: RNAcentral